Molecule: transfer RNA, 85 nt
Filed under: Lishizhenia tianjinensis
Lineage: Bacteria; Pseudomonadati; Bacteroidota; Flavobacteriia; Flavobacteriales; Crocinitomicaceae
Description: marine bacterium H6 tRNA
Rfam family: tRNA
About the family: Transfer RNA (tRNA) molecules are approximately 80 nucleotides in length. Their secondary structure includes four short double-helical elements and three loops (D, anti-codon, and T loops). Further hydrogen bonds mediate the characteristic L-shaped molecular structure. tRNAs have two regions of fundamental functional importance: the anti-codon, which is responsible for specific mRNA codon recognition, and the 3' end, to which the tRNAs corresponding amino acid is attached (by aminoacyl-tRNA synthetases). tRNAs cope with the degeneracy of the genetic code in two manners: having more than one tRNA (with a specific anti-codon) for a particular amino acid; and 'wobble' base-pairing, i.e. permitting non-standard base-pairing at the 3rd anti-codon position.
Source: Rfam by way of RNAcentral
GGAGAAGUGGCAGAGCGGUUGAAUGCACCGGUCUUGAAAACCGGCAUACUGAGAGGUAUCGGGGGUUCGAAUCCCUCCUUCUCCG